Molecule: non-coding RNA, 149 nt
Filed under: Arthrobacter sp.
Lineage: Bacteria; Bacillati; Actinomycetota; Actinomycetes; Micrococcales; Micrococcaceae
Description: FMN sequence
Rfam family: FMN riboswitch aptamer (RFN element)
About the family: The RFN element is a highly conserved domain that is found frequently in the 5'-untranslated regions of prokaryotic mRNAs that encode for flavin mononucleotide (FMN) biosynthesis and transport proteins. This element is a metabolite-dependent riboswitch that directly binds FMN in the absence of proteins.
Source: RNAcentral
AACGUGCUCCGGGGUCGGUGUAAGUCCGAACCGGCGGUUAUAGUCCGCGACCCAUGCCAAAGAGGCUUCUCACAAGAAGCCUUCGCCGCUUGGUUGAACUGGUGAAAUUCCGGUACCGACAGUUAAAGUCUGGAUGGGAGAAGCACGUA